This 269-nucleotide long non-coding RNA is filed under the name Nicotiana benthamiana. RNAcentral's name for it is "long non-coding RNA (NBEN_LNC018415)". The record is from RNAcentral. Lineage: Eukaryota; Viridiplantae; Streptophyta; Magnoliopsida; Solanales; Solanaceae.
AUGUGCUAUUUUUUGGUUUGGUCUAAAUAAGUGGUCUAAUGGACAUUAUGUUAAGGGGGCCAAUGUAUUGUCAUAUAAAGUGUAGGACUAAUGUGUAGAUACCCAAAUGGGUAACCUUAGUUAAUGAUGGGCUAACUAAGGUUACAUACAUGUAACCAUGGUUACAUGCCUAUGACUUUUGAGUUUCAUAACUCAUAUGUUAUAAGUGGGGGUUAUGGUUCCCAUAAGAAUGCAAGACAUUCUCAUCUUCUUCCACCCAUUGAGAGAGA